GACAAACGCUGGCGGCGUGCCUAAUACAUGCAAGUAGAACGCAGUUGCGAACGGGUGAGUAACGCGUAGGUAACUGCCUGGUAGCGGGGGAUAACUAUUGGAAACGAUAGCUAAUACCGCAUACCACCAGGUGGACCUGCGUUGUAUUAGCUAGUUGGUGGGGUAACGGCUCACCAAGGCAAAGAUACAUAGCCGACCUGGGAGGGGGAUUGGCCACAAGGGGACUGAGACACGGCCCAGAAUCCUACGGGAGGCAGCAGUAGGGAAUCCUCGGCAAUGGACCGAAGGCUGACCGAGCAACGCCGCGGGAGGGAAGAAGGUUUUCGGAUCGUAAAGCUCUGUUGUAAGAGAAGCGGUAUCUUACCAGAAAGGGACGGCUAACUACGUGCCAGCAGCCGCGGUAAUUC
RNAcentral lists this ribosomal RNA (407 nucleotides) under uncultured bacterium. RNAcentral describes it as "partial 16S ribosomal RNA". It matches the Rfam family "Bacterial small subunit ribosomal RNA", at positions 28 to 526 of the family's 1533-position model. The record is from RNAcentral.